Molecule: long non-coding RNA, 5601 nt
Filed under: Sus scrofa (pig)
Lineage: Eukaryota; Metazoa; Chordata; Mammalia; Artiodactyla; Suidae
Description: lncRNA (ENSSSCG00025030297.1)
Source: RNAcentral
GGCUGCACCUAUGGCAUAUGGAGAUUCCCAGGAUAGGAAUCGAAUCAGAGCUAUAGCUUCUGGCCUCUGCCACAGGCAAAGCAACUCGGGAUCUGAGCUGCAUCUGCAACGUACACCAUACAUAGCUCAUGGCAACGCCAGAUCCUUAACCCACUGAGCAAGGCCAGGGGUCAAAUCUGGGUCCUCAUGGAUGCUACUCAGAUUUGUUAACCACUGAGCCAUGACAGGAACUCCAAUAACAAGAACUUUUUUUAUAUAAUGAUUUUUAUUUUUUCCAUUAUAGCUGGUUUACAGUGUUCUGUCAAUUUUCUAAUAUACAGCAUGAUGACCCAGUUACACAUACAUGUAUACAUUCUUUUUUCUCACAUUAUCAUGUUCCAUCAUAAGUGACUAGACAUAGUUCCCAGGACUAUACAGCAGGAUCUCAUUGCUUAUGCAUUCCAAAGGCAACAGUUUGCAUCUAUUAACCCCAAAUUUCCAAUCCAUCCCACUCCCUCCCCCUCCCCCUUGGCAACCACAAGUCUGUUCUCCAUGUCCAUGAUUUUCUUUUCUGUGGAGAAAAGGGAACCCUCCUGCACUGUUGGUGGGAAUGUAAAUUGGUACAACCACUAUGGAGAACAGCAUGGAGGUACCUUAGAAAACUACACAUAGAACUACCAUAUGACCCAGCAAUCCCACUCAUGGGCCUAUGUCAGGACAAAACUUUCCUUGAAAAAGAUACAUGCACCCGCAUGUUCAUUGCAGCACUAUUCACAAUAGCCAAGACAUGGAAAUAACCUAAAUGUCCAUCAGCAGAUGACUGGAUUAAAAAGAUAUUUUUACUACUCCCUGGCAGAUUUUUACUACUCCCUGGCAGAUUUUCCUUUGGAAAAAUUGUGACUUGCAAAAAUAGUUCAUUUUCUACUACAUCUCUCACAUCCUUUCUUCCAUAGCAGGCAGAGUACUUAUUACAAGAAGAAAUAAUCAGACAAGAACAACUGCCCUUUGAACAAUGAGAAAUACUGCCUGAUGUAUUUUUCCUAGUACUCACUCUUGGUUCCAGGUAGCAAGAAUGUGUCAAUUUUAACAUUCCCCUGCACCUUAGGUCCCAAGGCAACAUUCUGAAACCCUCAGCUUCUUCUCAAAAUGAACUGAACUUCAGGGACAGUGACAAGACUCAAGACAUCAGGCUGUCACUUAGGAAUUACCAUGGGAUUAGAGUACCUGAACAAGCAAGAAGGAGAUGAGACAGGGGGCGGGGGUGGAAAGAGGAAGAGUGGAGCACUAAUCUGUAUUUAAAUAAACUUCCUUAACAUGUUAUUUUUUUACAGUAUUUUGUCUCAUCAAGUGUUUGGCUAUUUGGAGCUGUCAUUUCUAGCUAUCCUAGAACUUGUCAUUGGUAGAAAAAAAAACCUUUUUAAAAAAACACAUAUUACUGAAAGAUAUCUCCUAUUUUUUUUAGGUGAAGGGGAUUAAGAGGUACAAACUACUAGAUAUAAAAUAAAUAAGUUACAAAUAUAUAAUGUAUUAAAUAUAGUCAAUAUUUUAUGGUAACUUUGCAUGGAAUAUAAUCUACAAAAAUACUGAUUACUAUGUUGUAUACCUAAUGUUAAUAUAAUAUUGUAAGCCUAUAUCAAUUAAAAAACAUACCUAAAUGGAUUUUUUUCUGUUGAAACCCUAAUGAUUUCUAUUAUACUUCCAGAAAGCUUUUUCUUAAUUUCAAAAUUAAUUUUCAAUUAAGUUUCUCUUGGGUUUAAAUUGUUUUGCCCACCAGUCUUUUGACUAAUGACUGCCAAACACAUUCCUUAAUGAACUAGGGAGCCUGCUAUUUCAAAGACUCCCUUGCUUAAAUGGAAUCGCAACAUAUACCACUAUAAAAGAGAGAUUCUACAGAGCAAGGUUAUUUUCCUCAAGUGACAGGAAGAUUAAACAAAAAGACUUUGUUGAUGUGAUUACAAGUUUUACAUCUUAAUUGGUCCAUGUAAAAAACAGCAUCUCUAGUAAAGUGGUCCUCUGUAACGAAUGAACUUUAUUACUAGCUACUGAACAUAAAUCAUAAUUUUCUGCUACUAUUAACAAUUCCUCUUUAACUCCUUGCAUCCACUUGCCAUCAAACCUUCCAACCUCCUACACAAAAGUCACCUAAAUUUCCCUCAAACCAUCCACCAAAGAAAACACAGAGGAUACUCAGAAUCUAGGAGACAUGUGGGGAAAUGCAGUGGGAAAUUGGGUGGGACUUAAAUAUUUCUCCUACUCAUAUUAGCUUCUAAUUCACUACUAAGAUAAUAAGUUGCUUCAGAUGAUGAAAAAUAAGUAACAAUUCUCUAAAAUCAAAGAAAAUUUUCAUAUCUCAAGGAAAAGGGUAUUUGUAAAUUUUGCCACCACUAGGAAGCUCUAUAUUUAGCUGAGUUAAUUGCAGUAAUGUUAGCUUUUACAUCAGUCAUCAUUUUUGAUACUUUUCUAUAUAGCUAUGAAUAUAACAUGAGGUCAAAAUAAAUGUUAUAACAUGAAUCAUUAACAAUUUUAUUUAAAUCUUGUAUAAAAGCACUACCUGUUACAUUUUAUAAACUGUUUAUCUUAUAUAGAAGUACAUUUAUGAAAAAUUCAAACCAUACAAGAAUUUUUUGGGAUACUUCAUAUAUUGAGAGUCUUAAAAUUGUUGCUUGACUCUAACCUGAUGAUUCCAUAAAAUAGAUUACAUUCAUUGCAGGAUUAACUUGGAUGCCUACUAAACCAUUUGUUUUGGAAACAUACACUAAGUAGAUUAUUUUUAAAGGCAAGUCUACUCAGAUCAACUGUUGGCCCCACGUUGUGGUGGGUAUGAGUUAUGAGGGGACCCAUGGUGAGGACAAGAGGGUGAAAAGGGUAACAUGGGACCCCCUCACCCAAGAGAAACACAUCUUAGUCAUCUUACUGGCACCAAGCACGUACUAUCAGCAUCUUAUAGGAGUGAACAGAGUGUUAUUUAUUCUUGACCAAUUUUACAGAAAAUGGAAGUUCUUCAAUACACAUUCAUUCAGGAAUAAUAAGUAUACACUACAAUGACGCUGAAAGAUACAGGAGUCAAUACAGCUUAGAAAAGAAUUAAAAAGGACAAGGAGGUGACAAAACAUUGUGGAGGCAACUAUAGCCAGAAUGAAGGCUUAAUUUGUGCUGCCUGCCCUUCUUCUGCUCUGUGACACUAUCUGUUUUCAAUGUCUUGCAAAGGGUCAUCACCCAUCAUCCCAAAGAUCUUCUCUUCACUAAAAAGCCCAAAUGACUCAGAAUCUGAUGGACUGUGAAAAUAUGACCUCUACUAAAUAAACCAAGAAGUGAAGGGAGGAGGUGUAUGUGCUUUCCCAGUGGCACAGAGUUGGUUUCAUUUCAUUAGAUGUGAUAGUCACUGAGUAUCUGCUCAAUAACAGGCAGCUAUGGGAGAAAUUCAGUCUACAGGGGAACCUAUACCUAGACAGAAAAGGAAGAUGCACACAUCAAUGAUAUCGUCCAAGAGCUUCAUUCAUGUCUGCAAUGCUUUCCACCAGCCCCCCUAUCUUGACCCAAGACCUCUCCUCUGCUAAUUUGGAAGCACAGUGGAAAUUUGUCUUAAUUUAACCACAUUCCUCAAAUUCCAUAUCCACCUAAUGUAUUAUUAGGAUGAAUUAGACCACAAGUAACCAAAAAGCCAAAGCAAAAUAGCUUAAACAAUACAAGGCUUGUGUAAUUGGAAAGUCCAGAGUUGACGCACUCAAGUUUCAGAGUAGGUCUGAUUCAGCAGUUCAACAGUAAAAUUGAAGUCCUAGGUUCUUUCCUCCAUGUGCCAACUUUGUCCUCAGACUCUUUCCCCUUUUUGGUCUCAAGACAGCUCUAGUGACCCCCAGAGCUAUAACCCCUUCAAGAUUGGGAGAGUGGCAAUCUAGCUCUAAAGAGCCUGGAAGCUUCCUACCCAGGAAUAUUCUAGUACCUUGUCACAAUUCCAUCCUUGAACCAAUAUCUAUGACCUAGAAAUGGGAUUACUCUGAGCAGUUCAGGCCUAAGUGACAGACCUCACCCCUGGUUCCAAGGGUAGAAUCAGUUUCCCCAAAAGCAUUUGUGGCAACGGAACCAAAACUCUCAAGAUUGAGGAAAAGCUAUGCAAAAAUAACUGUGGUUACUAGGCUGAAGAAGGAAGACCAAAAAGGAGCAAUUUUUCCCUACAAGGAGGAGCUACCAUCCACACUCUGUCCUUCCUCAUUGCUCUCCUUAUACCAAAAGCAUCAAGGGAGCCCACACUGGGUGUUUUGUGUUUGGAAAAAUAAGAAAUAGGUGAGGGCAUGGCAUUUACAGGCCUAAGCUCAGAAAUACUCCUUUCGGAGUUCCUGCUGUGGCUCAGUGGAAAUGAAUGUGACUAGCAUCCAUGAGGAUGCAGGUUCAAUCCCUGGCUUCACUCAGUGGAUUAAGGAUCUGGCAUUGCCAUUAGCUGUGGUGUAGGUCACAGACAUGGUUCAUACCCUGUGUUGCUGCGGCUGUGGCAUAGGGCAGCAGCUGCAGUUCCAAUUCAACCCCUAUCCUGGGAACCUCCAUAUACCUUGUGUGACUCUCAAAAGACAAAAAAAAAGAAAAAAAAAAAAGAAAGAAAGAAAUAUUCCUUUCCUAUUUAACAAAAUAAGCCACUUUUUAAGGCUAGAUGAUUUGCGUCAAUAGUGGCUCAUAGGCUAGACAGUGUCAGAAGGUGCUAUGGCUACUACGAGAUUAUGAGUGACACAUUUAGCACACCAAGCAAUUCUACACACGAGUGAUUUGGGGAACAUGAGCACACAGGAAGGAGCUUCCCAGCAGAAUGGCUGUCAAAGGACUUAAGAACAUGGGACGGUUCUAUAUCACAGCCAAGGAUGGAGGCGAGCAGCCUUGAAGAGUAAUUCCCCAAUCGCACCGCUUGUCUUGGAACCUGCCACUUUCAUCUACGGCCAUCGUCUAUGCUCCACUUCCUUGCCAUCCUCACCCUUCUCGCUCCUAAGGCUUCACAACUCUCUGCAGCGAGGACAAGAGCACUUUGUGUCAAUAGAGGGGGUAUCACACUAUCAGACAUGGCCUCACAUUGGAUAUUUUAAUCCUUGUACUUAUUUUUCAAGCAAAAAUUGGAAGACCUACAAGUGCCCCAUUUCAUCAAUGGAUGAAGUCAUUGAGCAGCAGGAAGAUAUAUAACCAGUCAUAGGAAUAUCUCACUGGCAAAAAGAGGGAAGCCAGCCCCUCUUGUGGUUUCUGCCCCUGACUGACAUUUCUCCAGUGUCCAAAAUGCAUACCAGGCCUUGCUUCCAAAAUACUUCCCUCUGAAAGGAGCUAAGCCAGCUGGUAGUGAAUGUCCAAGCCAUAAUUUUACCUAUUCCCUACUGCUGGAAAAACUACUCAAAUGACCUAUCCUGCUAGGUAACAGAAUCACCAACAGGAACUCUAUAUGGAGGCCACAUGUUACAAGGCCAUAAGAAAUUACUUCCUUUAGGGUAUUUUCUCUACGUUCUCUUGUCUGUGUCCCUCCAGAUCCUUAUUUGCUUUUCAAGCUUGAUAAAUGGAGGGGUUCGUGGUCAUAAUAUUUAUUUUCUGUUAUGAAAAAUUUAAUAGCAUUCAGUUAAUUUAUAGGAAACAGUAGUCUUCAUCAAAUGCUGAAGU